This 253-nucleotide ribosomal RNA is filed under the name uncultured bacterium. RNAcentral's name for it is "partial 16S ribosomal RNA". It matches the Rfam family "Bacterial small subunit ribosomal RNA", at positions 524 to 776 of the family's 1533-position model. The record is from RNAcentral.
GACAGAGGCCCCGAGCGUUAGGCGGAAUCACUGGGCUUAAAGCGUGUGUAGGCGGACCGGUAAGUACCUUGUGAAAUCCCACGGCUCACCCGUGGAACUGCUGGGGAUACUGCCGGUCUCGGGCCAACUAGGGGCAACUGGAACAAGCGGUGGAGCGGUGAAAUGCGUAGAUAUCGCUUGGAACGCCGAAGGUGAAAACAGGUUGCUGGGGUUGUGCCGACGCUGAGACACGAAAGCCAGGGGAGCGAACGGG